UGGGGAAUUUUGGACAAUGGGCGAAAGCCUGAUCCAGCAAUGCCGCGUGUGUGAAGAAGGCCUUCGGGUUGUAAAGCACUUUUGUCCGGAAAGAAAUCCUUGGCUCUAAUACAGUCGGGGGAUGACGGUACCGGAAGAAUAAGCACCGGCUAACUACGUGCCAGCAGCCGCGGUAAUACGUAGGGUGCAAGCGUUAAUCGGAAUUACUGGGCGUAAAGCGUGCGCAGGCGGUUUGCUAAGACCGAUGUGAAAUCCCCGGGCUCAACCUGGGAACUGCAUUGGUGACUGGCAGGCUAGAGUAUGGCAGAGGGGGGUAGAAUUCCACGUGUAGCAGUGAAAUGCGUAGAGAUGUGGAGGAAUACCGAUGGCGAAGGCAGCCCCCUGGGCCAAUACUGACGCUCAUGCACGAAAGCGUGGGGAGCAAACAGGAUUAGAUACCUUGGUAGUCCACGCCCUAAACGAUGUCAACUAGUUGUUGGGGAUUCAUUUCCUUAGUAACGUAGCUAACGCGUGAAGUUGACCGCCUGGGGAGUACGGUCGCAAGAUUAAAACUCAAAGGAAUUGACGGGGUCAUAGCUGUUUCCU
RNAcentral lists this ribosomal RNA (585 nucleotides) under uncultured bacterium. RNAcentral describes it as "partial 16S ribosomal RNA". It matches the Rfam family "Bacterial small subunit ribosomal RNA", at positions 355 to 1375 of the family's 1533-position model. The record is from RNAcentral.